GCGCACGGGUGCGUAACGCGUGGGAAUCUGCCCUUGGGUUCGGAAUAACAGUUAGAAAUGACUGCUAAUACCGGAUGAUGUCGCAAGACCAAAGAUUUAUCGCCCAGGGAUGAGCCCGCGUAGGAUUAGGUAGUUGGUGGGGUAAAGGCUCACCAAGCCGACGAUCCUUAGCUGGUCUGAGAGGAUGAUCAGCCACACUGGGACUGAGACACGGCCCAGACUCCUACGGGAGGCAGCAGUGGGGAAUAUUGGACAAUGGGGGAAACCCUGAUCCAGCAAUGCCGCGUGAGUGAUGAAGGCCUUAGGGUUGUAAAGCUCUUUUACCAGGGAUGAUAAUGACAGUACCUGGAGAAUAAGCUCCGGCUAACUCCGUGCCAGCAGCCGCGGUAAUACGGAGGGAGCUAGCGUUGUUCGGAAUUACUGGGCGUAAAGCGCACGUAGGCGGUUACUCAAGUCAGAGGUGAAAGCCCGGGGCUCAACCCCGGAACUGCCUUUGAAACUAGGCAACUAGAAUUCUGGAGAGGUCAGUGGAAUUCCGAGUGUAGAGGUGAAAUUCGUAGAUAUUCGGAAGAACACCAGUGGCGAAGGCGACUGACUGGACAGAUAUUGACGCUGAGGUGCGAAAGC
RNAcentral lists this ribosomal RNA (627 nucleotides) under uncultured Novosphingobium sp. RNAcentral's name for it is "bacterial SSU rRNA". It matches the Rfam family "Bacterial small subunit ribosomal RNA", at positions 98 to 760 of the family's 1533-position model. The record is from RNAcentral. Lineage: Bacteria; Pseudomonadati; Pseudomonadota; Alphaproteobacteria; Sphingomonadales; Sphingomonadaceae.